CUGUGCUCGCAUUAGUAUUUUCCCAUAGGAAAGCAUUAUUUAAAGUUUUCCUAUGGGGAAAAAUCUGACGCUGGUCCUAAUGCCUUCUCUGGAACUGCAAUGUUUACCAUUGCAGCACUUGGUGUAAAAUUAACACAGCACCAAGACCACUACAAUAAGCUGAAGUGGUCUGGGUGCCUACAGUGUCCCUUUAACUAAAUGGUCAAGUGCUGAUAGUACGUGCUGGGCAUUCUGAGUGCCAGGUGAAGAUACUGUGCCCCUGAUGUACUGUGUCUCUCCUUACAGAUCAAAUAUAUACUAUAUAUCUCACAAAUACGUUGUUACUAAUAAAUACACUAAGAGGAAAAAACAAACACAACAAAAUUAAAUACUUAUCAGUAAACAGAAAAACAGCUUCCCACUGAACACCUCCCAAUUAGUGUUACAUCUAAACAAGCGAAGAAAUACAAUAUGUGUGGGAUUCAGCUGAUGAAUCUAAAAUCAAAAUAAAAUAAAACAUAGCAUAAUACAGUUUUAGAAAUGUAAUAUUUCCUGCUAUAGAUUGCACUCACAGGAUGUUGAAAGUAUAUGCGCUCUAUUGGUGCCUCCCCUGAUGUUUUGGGGGCUAGUGUCUCCCUCUUAGGAUCAAAUAUCACCCGGUAUCAGGAACCAUGCAGGACUCCAACAGGUAGAUAGGUAAAAAGGAGGUUUAUUGGUUAUAAAAAGUAUAAAAAGGAUUGGUCUUACGCGUUUCAUCCACCAGGGGACUUCCUCAGAGACCAGUAUACAAUAAAACACAGUGAGUAUAGUAAAUAAUGCUCCCAAAAAAAUAG
Pelobates cultripes (western spadefoot toad) is the source of this 812-nucleotide non-coding RNA. The record is from the annotation of a GenBank genome assembly. NCBI's taxonomy places the organism in Eukaryota, Metazoa, Chordata, Amphibia, Anura, Pelobatidae.